Molecule: microRNA precursor, 92 nt
Filed under: Canis lupus dingo (dingo)
Lineage: Eukaryota; Metazoa; Chordata; Mammalia; Carnivora; Canidae
Description: mir-8799 microRNA precursor family
Rfam family: mir-8799 microRNA precursor family
Source: Rfam by way of RNAcentral
GGGGGAGCGCCGGAUCCUGGGCUGUGUCCCCUGUUGCCCGGGGCUCUGGGGCCUGCGCUGCUGGAAUCGAGCUCCCGGCUGCGCAGACCCCU